GCUGGUGAUUCUAGCGAUGUGGAACAACCUCUUCCCAUUCCGAACAGAGUCGUUAAACGCAUCAGCGGCGAAAAUAGUUUUCCGGCAACGGAGUGCGAAGAUAGCUCGUCGCCAGCA
Molecule: ribosomal RNA, 117 nt
Filed under: candidate division WWE3 bacterium CG_4_9_14_3_um_filter_34_6
Lineage: Bacteria; candidate division WWE3
Source: RNAcentral